GACGGGGGGGGCAAGUGUUCUUCGGAAUGACUGGGCGUAAAGGGCACGUAGGCGGUGAGUCGGGUUGAAAGUGAAAGUCGCCAAAAAGUGGCGGAAUGCUCUCGAAACCAAUUCACUUGAGUGAGACAGAGGAGUGUGGAAUUUCGUGUGUAGGGGUGAAAUCCGUAGAUCUACGAAGGAACGCCAAAAGCGAAGGCAGCUCUCUGGGUCCCGACCGACGCUGGGGUGCGAAAGCAUGGGGAGCGAACAGG
Molecule: ribosomal RNA, 251 nt
Filed under: uncultured bacterium
Lineage: Bacteria
Description: partial 16S ribosomal RNA
Rfam family: Bacterial small subunit ribosomal RNA
Source: RNAcentral